RNAcentral lists this ribosomal RNA (405 nucleotides) under uncultured bacterium. RNAcentral's name for it is "partial 16S ribosomal RNA". It matches the Rfam family "Bacterial small subunit ribosomal RNA", at positions 28 to 526 of the family's 1533-position model. The record is from RNAcentral.
GAUGAACGCUGGCGGCGUGCCUAAUACAUGCAAGUCGAGCGGAGCGGGGACGGGUGAGUAACACGUGGCUACCCUCCGAUAGGGCUAGGAUAACUUCGGGAAACCUGAGCUAAACCCGAUACUUGUACGUGGAUCCGCGCUGCAUUAGCUAGUUGGUAAGGUAACGGCUUACCAAGGCAACGAUGCAUAGACGACCUGAGAGGGUGAUCGGCCACACUGGAACUGAGACACGGUCCAGACUCCUACGGGAGGCAGCAGUAGGGAAUAUUGCGCAAUGGGCGAAAGCCUGACGGAGCAACGCCGCGUGAGUGAUGAAGGUCUUCGGAUCGUAAAACUCUGUUAGUAGGGAAGCGGUACCUACUCAGAAAGCAACGGCUAACUACGUGCCAGCAGCCGCGGUAAUAC